RNAcentral lists this long non-coding RNA (1763 nucleotides) under Mus musculus (house mouse). Its description in RNAcentral is "long non-coding RNA chr2:124207811-124209574". Lineage: Eukaryota; Metazoa; Chordata; Mammalia; Rodentia; Muridae. The record is from RNAcentral.
GUAAAUGUCCCUGUCCCCAGCCAUUAGGAGAGGAGACAGGGAAGGAAGGCAAGCAGACGGUAAUAGCCCUCGCUUGCAGUCACUUAGUGCAAUUACAGUACUCCCACUGCAUAACAGCAGCCUGGGGUAGCAAGGACCAAGUCAGCUACAUGUUUCCAAAUGAAGAAUUCAAUACAACAUUGCCCAAAUCUGGCAGAAAAGUCACAUUCUUUACCCCCUUAGCACUUUUCCAAUGGCUUUGAGUAAGUGCUAAGUCUGUCUCCAAUUAGCUUACUAUAUGAAGAAUGAGUGUGAAUGGCAUUAGUGCACAUUAAAACACAUCCUUGAAAUCACACCCACACCCCUAUUAUUCUUCAGCAACACUACAUGCUGUAAUAACAGUAACAACGAGCAAGGCCCCCUGGUUUGCCUAAUAUCUGAGCUUUAAUUGGUUUGUACAUAUUUAUGGGACCAGGGGUGGUGAUUUAAAGAAAAAAAAAUGCUUGCAAGAUUGAAGACUUGAAUCUCCCCAUCCUUGGAUGUGCCCAUGAAGGACAGCUGCUGAAAUAAACGAGUUUGAAUAGAGAGUCCAUGAAGGAAAUUGGUCUUGUCCCUGACAGCUUAUCUUUAAGCCCAAGGCUUUCCUCUAAUUGUCUGUUGUUGAUGCUUCUGUUGUGGUUAAAUAUAACCCGAAGGAACUUGGGUACAUGCCCUUGGGUGGCAUGGCAAGAGGCUGAUGGCUGCUUUCUGCUUACCAUCCAGCCUGUUUGCCUCUCCCUGGAAAUCAGCUAUAAAUGAUUUUCUAAGUCCACUUAAGCUUUAAAUCAAGAACUACACUCUGUCCCUCUAGAGCCAAGCUGAGCCUGCGAGGUCCUUCAUUCUUCAGGAAUGAUGUAGGGGUGAGAGAUGCCUGGCCACAAUUUUAAAAGCAUUGGUCUGUCAAGUUAGGCUGCAAUGGAGUCAACAGAAUCAUCAUAUGUACAAGGUACUGUGAAAUUAGAUUAGGAGAAAUAGUCCCCAAGCCACAGAAGUGAUCUGUUCAUGUGCACAGCACCCAAUACUGUACCUGAGCAUGUAGGUACUAUUCAGCCUUAUACACAACUCUGUACACAUUGGUACAGCUCCAGCAGUCAAUGCCCAUCCACUUAGCUGUGUCACCAGCACAGCUAGAAGCAAAACUGCACACAGUCAAUCAAAUCCUGAUUGCAAACUAAGAUAAUUAGAUAGUAAGAUAAGCGCUCAGUACAUGGAAGCUGCCAUACUAUAGCUACUAACUACUAUUUGGAGGUGGGGGAGCUCUGCGUUUGGUAGCCUUUCAUUACUCCUGCACUUCUAAGAGGUCUUUUGGCAUAAAUGCUAUCCAAGUCUACUAAUAGGUCAUAAUCAAUUAAAUAGGAUUUAAUGAGUGCAUAUUUAUGAAAUGCAUAUUGUAAUGGAAAGUAAUACAAUCAAUCAAGCUUACAGACAGACAGAUAAGAAGUGCAUCGGGGGGGAGAGGGGGGUUUGAAAGCCACAAGAGGACAUCAAGUGUCCUGCUUUUUCAUACUUUACCAUGUUGCCUUGAGAGAGGAAUUCUAGCUGAGGCUGGAGGAAGUUUUGCUGCCAUUAAGCCUCAGUUAUCUUUCUGUGGUCCACAGUGAUCCACAGUGCUGGGGUAUCCAGUGGUGUGCAGCCACCCUCAAGUUCUUAUAUGCUUGGAACUGACCUCAGGUCCUUGUGUUUGUACGGCUAGCAUUAUUCCCCACUGAGGCAUCUCUCCAGACUUCAAGUGAGGACAUUUAAGG